AAGAUUCCGAAUAUUUCCGAUUAACAUUACUGACGUACAAAAUUUCUGUAAGGAUUAAUCCUGUUCGAGUCACCUUUAGAAGUUUGACGCAGAACUACCUGAAGUUGGAUUAUUGUCAUCAAAAAGAUGAGCUUGAGUAAAAAUUACCUCCUGGAAUGUUUAUCAGCAGACAAAAAGGCCACCAUCCCUCUCAAAGAACAGUGUCUUCUAAAAAUAGCAAUACAUCUAUGUCUUUAUUCUGAACUCAGAAAUUACAUUUUCAAAGCACCACAGCAAAAUCUUGAAGCAUCUAACCGGGAACAGAGAAACUUUGAAGAACUUUCCAAGACAAUAAUUAAUACUCUUAUUCUCCCAUUUGAUUUGCACGGAAAAUUGCUUGCUUUCAUUCAUUCAGUGAAAAGACAGUUGAUUUUUUGGAUUAACCAUCUAGAAAAAUUCACCAUUUCACAUGAUAUUUCUGCUUCUGUUGUCACACCAGGAGACUGGACAGUUGAAGGUGUAAUUAAUGCAAGGGGAAUAGCAAAGCGCUUAGUGAUUGAUGGACGAAUCCCUGUCUUUCAUCGUUAUCAUAUAGCAUAUUCAUAUUUUUUAUAAAAUUCUAUUUUGUCUUUGUGGAAGCUUAUUUCACCAGUACACCAACAAGUCCUAGUUCGUCCGUCAGGUACUUGAGAAUUUUGGGUAAUUACUGUGUGGUCUCAUUAUUUACCAUGAUUGAAAACUAAAUAGGAAUUUUUUACAUCUUUCUAUUGGCUGCGAUAGGAGAAGAAAUAAUAACAAUAAUUAAAUGUUGUAAAUCGCUGGAUAAAAGUUCAAGUGAGAGUAAAGUUAUAAAUGCUGCUUUAGUUGCAGUGCAAGGGAUAUAUUGUAACAGUUUCAGUUUGGAAAUGAGCAGGGAUGAAUCUCAAAUGCUUUUACUGGGUUAUACAGAUAUUUUGUGCAUGCUUCUGUCUCAAAUGACUGCUGAGGAAAGACUAUCAUUUUUUAGAAGGGUACUUUAUCUGGAACACUUUUCUGAACAUGACUAUUGCAUCCAUGAAUGCUUUUUACAGCAGCCAUUCCAGAGCAAUUUUAUGCCGCUAAAACUGAAUUGAAAAAAUAUUUUAAAUGCACAAGUAUUUCGUAGGCUCCAUGCUAAAAUUGCAAACAUGAAAAAUUGGUACUUUGAUAUAAAUGCAUUUGAAUUUUUGGGAAAGGACAUUGAGAAAAAUAAAUCUCUGUAUGUACAGGCAAACCCUGCUCAUCAUGAUUAACUAAUCCAUUAACUAAUGUACAUUAACCAAAAUUGUAUUGAGUAAAAUAAACAGCAAGAACUGCUGUAUUUCAUUCUA
Long non-coding RNA from Stegodyphus dumicola, 1328 nucleotides. RefSeq lists it as uncharacterized. Lineage: Eukaryota; Metazoa; Arthropoda; Arachnida; Araneae; Eresidae. The record is from RefSeq and is a predicted model, not a curated record.